RNAcentral lists this ribosomal RNA (367 nucleotides) under uncultured Glomeromycotina. RNAcentral's name for it is "SSU rRNA". It matches the Rfam family "Eukaryotic small subunit ribosomal RNA", at positions 682 to 1054 of the family's 1831-position model. Lineage: Eukaryota; Fungi; Glomeromycota. The record is from RNAcentral.
GCUUUACAUGAUUCCUCCUUCUUGACGAACCGUGAUGUCAUUAAUUUGGUGUUGCGGGAAAUCAGGACUGUUACUUUGAAAAAAUUAGAGUGUUUAAAGCAGGCUAACGCUUGAAUACAUUAGCAUGGAAUAAUGAAAUAGGACGUUAUUCCUAUUUUGUUGGUUUCUAGGAUCGACGUAAUGAUUAAUAGGGAUAGUUGGGGGCAUUAGUAUUCAAUUGUCAGAGGUGAAAUUCUUGGAUUUAUUGAAGACUAACUACGGCGAAAGCAUUUGCCAAGGAUGUUUUCAUUAAUCAAGAACGAAAGUUAGGGGAUCGAAACGAUCAGAUACCGUCGUAGUCUUACCAUAACUAUGCCGACAGGGUCGA